Molecule: ribosomal RNA, 460 nt
Filed under: uncultured bacterium
Lineage: Bacteria
Description: partial 16S ribosomal RNA
Rfam family: Bacterial small subunit ribosomal RNA
Source: RNAcentral
CCUACGGGUGGCUGCAGUGAGGAAUCUUGGUCAAUGGACGCAAGUCUGAACCAGCCAUGCCGCGUGCAGGAUGACGGCCCUAUGAGUUGUAAACUGCUUUUGUACGGGGGUAAACCCCGAUACGUGUAUCGGGUUGAAAGUAUCGUACGAAUAAGGAUCGGCCAACUCCGUGCCAGCAGCCGCGGUAAUACGGAGGAUGCGCGCGUUAUCCGGAUUUAUUGGGUUUAAAGGGUGCGUAGGCGGUGUGAUAAGUUAGAGGGGAAAUGUCAGGGCUCAACCCCGGAACUGCCUUUAAGACUGGUGGACUAGAGAAUAGUAGAGGUAGGCGGAAUGUAUGGUGUAGCGGUGAAAUGCUUAGAGAUCAUACAGAACACCGAUUGCGAAGGCAGCUUACCAAACUAUAACUGACGUUGAGGCACGAAAGCGUGGGUAGCAAACAGGAUUAGAUACCCCUGUAGUC